UUUGGCAUUGAUCCAAAGUUGAGCGAUGUGUGAGUAAGAUGAAAGAGCCUUGCCUAGGUAUUCAGAAGCAAGAGCAAUGCAAAAACGGUCAUGCGAUCAACAAAGCAGUACAGUUAUUAAAGCCCUCCCAGGGUGAAUAAACAAAAACUCACCAAUGACAGCUAGAAAAAAACCAAACAAAAAAAAACUUUCCCUGGAGUGACCACUUUGUACUGCUUCCUUUUUUUUUAACUUAAGAAGCAAAAUUUAGUUUAUAAAAAUUAAAGCAUAAAAUCAAAUCAUAUCCCAAACAUUAAACAAAACUAACUCAAGUAACACAUUGAAUCUCACUUUUGGCUUGUGUUUGACAAGAAAUGGCCAUGGCAGUUUUUUGGCAUCUUUCCAACUGGACUUCCUUACAGAGCUGCCAGGACACUGUUAAUUAGGAAAAUAGUUGCAAAAUAAAGAGGCUUUGGAGAGAACAAACUACAAAUGUGAUUCAAAUAUAUUGAAUCUUUCCAAGAUGUGCCUUGUGGCCUUUCUCAGCGUAUUACUUGUUCAGAACAUCACUCAUGAGCCAGGAACCAUGAACAUGCAGGAACUGUGUACACGAUGUGGCUGUCCCCAGCAAAAUCAAUUCCCACAUGGUGAUGCAGCUAAGAAUCAUCAGUAGCCAUUACUCCUAGAAGCUCAUGGAAUUUGAAAGGUGGGUAUGGGUGGCAUACUAUACCAUCCACUAUAGAGGAGUCACCUAAAGCAUUGAAUUCUGAUGGAAAACUUUACAAAUUGUAUAUGGUCAGGAGAUUGAUGAAUGACAGAUGAACCAGUGAGAGGUUCUAAACUCAGGACAGUCACUGAGUUGGUAAGGGGCAUCAAGACUGUGAAGUAAAAGAAUUGCAAACAAAUGAAUACCUGGGAAAAAUGGUACCAUGUUGAAAAUAGAAGGUAUACUGACUGGAACAAGAGAGAAUGUUGACAAACUUCGCUAGCAAGUAUGGACUUGAAAUCCUCAUUUCACUAGAGUGAAACAUGAAGCCACUAGUAACUUUUUAUAUUAAUAGUGUAAAUUGUUGACCCACUUCUGUGGGUCCAUUUCUGUACAAUAUUUUUACUUUUUUUUCUAAUACUUAAAGAAACCAGCCCUCUGGC
Molecule: long non-coding RNA, 1128 nt
Filed under: Sus scrofa (pig)
Lineage: Eukaryota; Metazoa; Chordata; Mammalia; Artiodactyla; Suidae
Description: lncRNA (ENSSSCG00030041813.1)
Source: RNAcentral